This 1176-nucleotide long non-coding RNA is filed under the name Homo sapiens (human). Its description in RNAcentral is "HSALNT0214479". Lineage: Eukaryota; Metazoa; Chordata; Mammalia; Primates; Hominidae. The record is from RNAcentral.
UGAAUAACCGGAACAUUGAAUUUAAAUCAAUCAUGCACCAAUCCCUUUCCAAAUUUUAAGUUAAUAUUCAAUUUGUAACACCUAAAUCAGGAAAUAAUACAAAUUAACCUUCCCAUAUAAAAGACUCCAACAUUUAUGAACAAGUCUCAUAAAAUUAAAGGCAUAAAAUAUACUUGCAUUUUCAAAAUGGUUGUCAAGUUAAACAUCAAUAAAAGUAAAUGUGCUAUAUCUUAAACAUCCAAUAAGAAAUGAAUGGGAUGUUGAUACGCAAUAUGAGGCAGCAUGUAAAAUAUAUAAGCAUGACUGGUGUCAUAAAAAGUAAACAUCCUUUUCAAGAAUAUAUAAACAAUGUUUUCAAACCUUCUUCAUAUACUUUUUUGGAUGCCCACAAGUAAAAAUAAAACUGAAUUUAUCAUAUUUAACAUUUAAAAAUAUUUCUGACAGGACCAUUUCAAAGAAUGAUAGAAGCCUUGCUUUUUUCCCCAAGUCAAUUUUGUUGGUGAAUAUUAUUCUAUGUUACUGUCUGACAGCUUUAAAUGUAACCCAAACAAUAAACAGGUAAUUUUUAUCUAUAUAAUCCUAUAUAACAAUUAACCACAUUUUAAUUUUUAUAAAGAUCAUUUAAGCAUAUUUUAAUUUUUAUAAAUAUCAUUUAUAUAAGGUAUAUCAUUGCUGAAAAUAAAAUUAUACAACUUAUAAAAUUAUACAAGUUGAAUGGAUAAGUUUUAGUAAAGCAGUUACUUAUACAGAGUAAGUCCAAUAAUUAAGAUGUUAUUCAUUUCAGUGAUACCAAUUCCAAAGGAAAAAAAUGUGCAAAACUGUGAAGAGAGGUAAAGAACACUAAGUAACAGUAUCCCAUUAAUGCUAAAUAUGGAAGAUGACAAAAAUACAAAGUUAGGCUUUGUAAACACAGCAAAGAGAGGAUUACCUGGAACCUCUUUUCAGCAGCAGAUAAAGAGGGAAAAAGAUUACAACAUAAAUUUGAAUUGAAAACACUAGUGAAAUACCUCCUGUAAUAAAAUAUUUUAACAAGUUUAAUGCAGACAGCUAUAUUGCAUAAUAUUAAAGGCCUGUUGUUUUUAGUUUAUAAUCCCAGCACUUUGGGAGCCCAAGGCAGGAGGAUCACGAGGUCAGGAGUUCGAGACCAGCCUGGCCAACAUGGUGAAAUCCCGUCUC